CUUGACUCUGAUCCAAAAGGUCACACCCUUGGCCGUUGAGGCUUUAGAUGGGAGACCACUUGAUAAACCUCUGGUGACCCAUGAAACCCAAGAAAUGGUUAUGGCCGUGGGUGCCUUACACAAGGAAAGGUUAACCUUCCAAAUAAUUGACUCCCCUACAGCUUCCAUCAUUCUGGGCUUUCCCUGGUUAGUUAAACACAACCCGGUGCUUGAUUGGGG
Non-coding RNA from Pelobates cultripes (western spadefoot toad), 219 nucleotides. The record is from the annotation of a GenBank genome assembly. NCBI's taxonomy places the organism in Eukaryota, Metazoa, Chordata, Amphibia, Anura, Pelobatidae.